RNAcentral lists this ribosomal RNA (450 nucleotides) under uncultured bacterium. Its description in RNAcentral is "partial 16S ribosomal RNA". It matches the Rfam family "Bacterial small subunit ribosomal RNA", at positions 354 to 796 of the family's 1533-position model. The record is from RNAcentral.
GUGGGGAAUUUUGGACAAUGGGCGCAAGCCUGAUCCAGCAAUGCCGCGUGCAGGAAGAAGGCCUUCGGGUUGUAAACUGCUUUUGUACGGAACGAAAAGGCUCUGGUUAAUACCUGGGGCUCAUGACGGUACCGUAAGAAUAAGCACCGGCUAACUACGUGCCAGCAGCCGCGGUAAUACGUAGGGUGCAAGCGUUAAUCGGAAUUACUGGGCGUAAAGCGUGCGCAGGCGGUUUUGUAAGACAGACGGGAAAUCCCCGGGCUCCACCUGGGAAUGGCGUUUGUGACUGCAAAGCUGGAGUGCGGCAGAGGGGGAUGGAAUUCCGCGUGUAGCAGUGAAAUGCGUAGAUAUGCGGAGGAACACCGAUGGCGAAGGCAAUCCCCUGGGCCUGCACUGACGCUCAUGCACGAAAGCGUGGGGAGCAAACAGGAUUAGAAACCCUGGUAGUCC